CCGGCGACCGGCGCACGGGUGAGUAACACGUAUGCAACCUGCCUGCCACAGCCGGAUAAUCGGGAGAAAUUCCGUCUAAUACGGCAUAAUGCCGGGAGGGGACAUCCCCUGCCGGCCAAAGGGGGCGACCCCGGUCACGGAUGGGCAUGCGGCGCAUUAGGUAGUUGGUGGGGCAACGGCCCACCAAGCCGACGAUGCGUAGGGGUUCUGAGAGGAAGGUCCCCCACAUUGGAACUGAGACACGGUCCAAACUCCUACGGGAGGCAGCAG
Molecule: ribosomal RNA, 270 nt
Filed under: uncultured bacterium
Lineage: Bacteria
Description: partial 16S ribosomal RNA
Rfam family: Bacterial small subunit ribosomal RNA
Source: RNAcentral